UACGUAGGGGGCUAGCGUUGUCCGGAAUCAUUGGGCGUAAAGCGCGCGCAGGUGGUUUCUUAAGUCUGAUGUGAAAGCCCACGGCUCAACCGUGGAGGGUCAUUGGAAACUGGGAGACUUGAGUGCAGAAGAGGAAAGUGGAAUUCCAUGUGUAGCGGUGAAAUGCGUAGAGAUAUGGAGGAACACCAGUGGCGAAGGCGACUUUCUGGUCUGUAACUGACACUGAGGCGCGAAAGCGUGGGGAGCAAACAGG
This 253-nucleotide ribosomal RNA is filed under the name uncultured bacterium. RNAcentral's name for it is "partial 16S ribosomal RNA". It matches the Rfam family "Bacterial small subunit ribosomal RNA", at positions 524 to 776 of the family's 1533-position model. The record is from RNAcentral.